RNAcentral lists this ribosomal RNA (292 nucleotides) under uncultured Acidobacteriota bacterium. RNAcentral's name for it is "uncultured Acidobacteria bacterium partial 16S ribosomal RNA". Lineage: Bacteria; Pseudomonadati; Acidobacteriota. The record is from RNAcentral.
GGACUACAGGGGUUUCUAAUCCUGUUUGCUCCCCUAGCUUUCGUCCCUCAGCGUCAGUUGCGAUCCAGCAAGCCGCUUUCGCCUCGGAUGUUCCUGCGGAUAUCUACGCAUUUCACCGCUACACCCGCAAUUCCACUUGCCUCUCUCGCACUCGAGCACGGUAGUAUUGGAAGCAGCCUCUGAGUUAAGCCCAGAGAUUUCACUCCCAACUUACCGCACCGCCUACGGACCCUUUACGCCCAGUAAUUCCGAGCAACGCUGGCCCCCUACGUCUUACCGCGGCUGCUGGCAC